Molecule: ribosomal RNA, 538 nt
Filed under: Ophiostoma piceae
Lineage: Eukaryota; Fungi; Ascomycota; Sordariomycetes; Ophiostomatales; Ophiostomataceae
Description: LSU rRNA
Rfam family: Eukaryotic large subunit ribosomal RNA
Source: RNAcentral
CAAUAAGCGGAGGAAAAGAAACCAACAGGGAUUGCCCCAGUAACGGCGAGUGAAGCGGCAACAGCUCAAAUUUGAAAUCUGGCCCUCGGGUCCGAGUUGUAAUUUGGAGAGGAUGCUUUUGGCGCGGCGCCGUCCGAGUUCCUUGGAACAGGACGCCAUAGAGGGUGAGAGCCCCGUACGGGCGGCCGCCUAGCCUUUGUAAAGCUCCUUCGACGAGUCGAGUAGUUUGGGAAUGCUGCUCAAAAUGGGAGGUAAAUUUCUUCUAAAGCUAAAUACCGGCCAGAGACCGAUAGCGCACAAGUAGAGUGAUCGAAAGAUGAAAAGCACUUUGAAAAGAGGGUUAAAAAGUACGUGAAAUUGUUGAAAGGGAAGCGCCUGUGACCAGACUUGCGGCCCGUGGAUCAUCCGGUGUUCUUCACCGGUGCACUCCGCGGGCUGCAGGCCAGCAUCGGUUUUCUUAGGGGGAUAAAGGUCGCGGGAACGUAGCUCCCUCGGGAGUGUUAUAGCCCGUGGCGUCAUGCCUCUGGGGGGACCGAGG